UUGUUACUCCCUCCAUCCAAUAAAAGAUGUCUCAAGUUUGUCAAAAUUUGAAUGUAUCUAAACAUAACUUAGCGUAUAGAUGCAUUCAAAUUUGAUCAAACUUGAGACAUCCUUUGUUGGACGGAAGGACUAAAUU
This is a non-coding RNA of Brachypodium distachyon (stiff brome), 136 nucleotides long. The record is from Rfam. Lineage: Eukaryota; Viridiplantae; Streptophyta; Magnoliopsida; Poales; Poaceae.